Molecule: transfer RNA, 73 nt
Filed under: Reichenbachiella agariperforans
Lineage: Bacteria; Pseudomonadati; Bacteroidota; Cytophagia; Cytophagales; Reichenbachiellaceae
Also listed under: 2 other names
Description: tRNA_Thr_TGT
Rfam family: tRNA
About the family: Transfer RNA (tRNA) molecules are approximately 80 nucleotides in length. Their secondary structure includes four short double-helical elements and three loops (D, anti-codon, and T loops).
Source: RNAcentral
GCCUCCUUAGCUCAGUUGGUAGAGCACCUCACUUGUAAUGAGGCGGUCGUUGGUUCGAGUCCGACAGGGGGCU